GCGGCGGCAGCCAGAUCUCGUGCGCGGGCCUGCCGUGCCCGGCGAUCCGGGACACCAGCAUGUUCAGGUUCGAGACCUGUUCGCCGUC
RNAcentral lists this transfer RNA (88 nucleotides) under Nocardia neocaledoniensis NBRC 108232. RNAcentral describes it as "tRNA-Gly". The record is from RNAcentral. Lineage: Bacteria; Bacillati; Actinomycetota; Actinomycetes; Mycobacteriales; Nocardiaceae.